GAUGAAGAACGCAGCGAAAUGCGAUAAGUAAUGUGAAUUGCAGAAUUCAGUGAAUCAUCGAAUCUUUGAACACACAUUGCGCCCGCCAGUAUUCUGGCGGGCAUGCCUGUUCGAGCGUCAUUUCAACCAUCAAGCCCCCGGCUUGUGUUGGGGACCUGCGGCUGCCGCAGGCCCUGAAAACCAGUGGCGGGCUCGCUAGUCACUCCGAGCGUAGUAAUACAUCUCGCUCAGGGCGUGCUGCGGGUUCCGGCCGUUAAAAAGCCUUAUUUACCCAAGGUUGACCUCGGAUCAGGUAGGAAGACCCGCUGAACUUAAGCAUAUCAAUAAGCGGAGGA
This 335-nucleotide unclassified non-coding RNA is filed under the name soil metagenome. Its description in RNAcentral is "partial contains 5.8S ribosomal RNA, internal transcribed spacer 2, and large subunit ribosomal RNA". The stretch from base 1 to 120 matches the Rfam family "5.8S ribosomal RNA", at positions 35 to 154 of the family's 154-position model. The record is from RNAcentral.